GCCCGGGAAUUACGAGCCCAAGCUUAAAACCCAAAGGACUUGACGGUGUCCCACCCACCUAGAGGAGCCUGUUCUAUAAUCGACACUCCCCGAUCAACCCCACCAUCUCUUGAAUAACCAGCCUGUAUACCUCCGUCGCAAGCUUACCAUGUGAACGUAUCCAGUGAGCCUAAAGAUUAAAAACCCAAACGUCAGGUCAAGGUGCAGCCAACGAGAUGGAAAGUAAUGGGCUACAAUCUCUACUCUAGAACAUACAGAAAACUGCAUGAAAUACAGUAAUUGAAGGCGGAUUUAGAAGUAAAAAGAAAAUAGAGCGUUCUUUUUAAUAAGGCACUGGGACGCGUACACACCGCCCGUCACCCUCUUUAACCCACUCCUAUGUAAACACAUACCCUAUAGAAGAGGCAAGUCGUAACAUGGUAAGCGUACUGGAAAGUGUGCUUGGAUUAACAAAAUGUAGCUUAAUAAAAAGCAUCUUGCUUACACCAAGAACAUGUUAGUUACACCACUAAUCAUUUUGAGCCUAAAACCAAGCCCUAACCAACUAAAUAAGAAACCCCCUACUAAUAAAAAGACAAUAAAACAUUUUACUGGCUAAGUAAAGGCGAUUAAAAAGCACUUAGGAG
This 626-nucleotide ribosomal RNA is filed under the name Xenorhina oxycephala (Schlegel's snouted frog). Its description in RNAcentral is "partial 12S ribosomal RNA". The stretch from base 1 to 457 matches the Rfam family "Bacterial small subunit ribosomal RNA", at positions 871 to 1533 of the family's 1533-position model. Lineage: Eukaryota; Metazoa; Chordata; Amphibia; Anura; Microhylidae. The record is from RNAcentral.